This 492-nucleotide ribosomal RNA is filed under the name uncultured bacterium. RNAcentral describes it as "partial 16S ribosomal RNA". It matches the Rfam family "Bacterial small subunit ribosomal RNA", at positions 29 to 507 of the family's 1533-position model. The record is from RNAcentral.
AGUGAACGCUGGCGGUAGGCCUAACACAUGCAAGUCGAACGGAAGCACAGUAAGAGCUUGCUCUUACGGGUGGCGAGUGGCGGACGGGUGAGGAAUACAUCGGAAUCUACUUUUUCGUGGGGGAUAACGUAGGGAAACUUACGCUAAUACCGCAUACGCCCUACGGGUGAAAGCAGGGGAUCUUCGGACCUUGCGCGAUUGAAUGAGCCGAUGUUGGAUUAGCUAGUUGGCGGGGUAAAGGCCCAGCCAGGCGACGAUCCGUAGCUGGUCUGAGAGAAUGGUCAGCGACACUGGAACGGAGACACGGUCCAUACUCCUGCGGGAGGCAGCAGUGUGGAAUAUUGGGCAACGGGCGCAAGCCUGAUCCAGCCAUACCGCGUGGGUGAAGAAGGCCUUCGGGUUGUAAAGCCCUUUUGUUGGGAAAGAAAAGCAGCAGGUUAAUACCCCGCUGUUCUGACGGUACCCAAAGAAUAAGCACCGGCUAACUUCGUG